Molecule: ribosomal RNA, 468 nt
Filed under: uncultured bacterium
Lineage: Bacteria
Description: partial 16S ribosomal RNA
Rfam family: Bacterial small subunit ribosomal RNA
Source: RNAcentral
GACGAACGCUGGCGGCGUGCUUAACACAUGCAAGUCGAACGGAAAGGCCCUGCUUUUGUGGGGUGCUCGAGUGGCGAACGGGUGAGUAACACGUGAGUAACCUGCCCUUGACUUUGGGAUAACUUCAGGAAACUGGGGCUAAUACCGGAUAGGAGCUCCUGCUGCAUUGUGGGGGUUGGAAAGUUUCGGCGGUUGGGGAUGGACUCGCGGCUUAUCAGCUUGUUGGUGGGGUAGUGGCUUACCAAGGCUUUGACGGGUAGCCGGCCUGAGAGGGUGACCGGCCACAUUGGGACUGAGAUACGGCCCAGACUCCUACGGGAGGCAGCAGUGUGGAAUAUUGCACAAUGGGCGGAAGCCUGAUGCAGCAACGCCGCGUGCGGGAUGACGGCCUUCGGGUUGUAAACCGCUUUCGCCUGUGACGAAGCGUGAGUGACGGUAAUGGGUAAAGAAGCACCGGCUAACUACGUG